This 234-nucleotide ribosomal RNA is filed under the name uncultured bacterium. RNAcentral's name for it is "partial 16S ribosomal RNA". It matches the Rfam family "Bacterial small subunit ribosomal RNA", at positions 96 to 334 of the family's 1533-position model. The record is from RNAcentral.
CGGCGAACGGGUGAGUAAUACAUCGGAACGUGCCCAGUAGUGGGGAUAACCCGGCGAAAGCCGGACUAAUACCGCGUACGACCUACGGGUGAAAGCAGGGGAUCGCAAGACCUUGCGCUAUUGGAGCGGCCGAUGUCAGAUUAGCUAGUUGGUGGGGUAAAAGCCCACCAAGGCGACGAUCUGUAGCUGGUCUGAGAGGACGACCAGCCACACUGGGACUGAGACACGGCCCAG